This 432-nucleotide ribosomal RNA is filed under the name uncultured bacterium. Its description in RNAcentral is "bacterial SSU rRNA". It matches the Rfam family "Bacterial small subunit ribosomal RNA", at positions 1 to 424 of the family's 1533-position model. The record is from RNAcentral.
AGGGGGUUUUGAUCAUGGCUCAGAAUCAACGCUGGCGGCGUGCCUAACACAUGCAAGUCGAGCGCGAAAGCGGACUUCGGUCCGCGAGUAGAGCGGCNAACGGGUGAGUAACGCGUGGGUGAUCUGCCUUCGAGUGGGNANUACCCGGGNNAAAACUGGGCUAUAAUACCGCAUGACAUCCUCGGUUCGUUCCGGGGAUCAAAGCUGGGGACCGUAAGGCCUGGCGCUUGAAGAGGAGCCCGCGUCCGAUUAGCUUGUUGGCGGGGUAAUGGCCCACCAAGGCUUCUAUCGGUAGCCGGCCUGAGAGGGCGGACGGCCACACUGGGACUGAGACACGGCCCAGACUCCUACGGGAGGCAGCAGUGGGGAAUUUUCCGCAAUGGGGAAACCCUGACGGAGCAACGCCGCGUGGAGGAUGAAGGCCCUCGGGUC